Long non-coding RNA from Oncorhynchus keta (chum salmon), 663 nucleotides. RefSeq lists it as uncharacterized. The transcript is spliced from 3 exons. The record is from RefSeq and is a predicted model, not a curated record. Lineage: Eukaryota; Metazoa; Chordata; Actinopteri; Salmoniformes; Salmonidae.
CAUAUCCCAGGUGAUUUUAUUAUAACAGCAUUAGGCAUCCAUAUCCCAGGUGAUUUAUUAUAACAGCAUUAGGCAUCCAUAUCCCAGGUGAUUUAUUAUAACAGCAUUAGGCAUCCAUAUCCCAGGUGAUUUAUUAUAACAGCAUUAGGCAUCCAUAUCCCAGGUGAUUUAUUAUAACAGCAUUAGGCAUCCAUAUCCCAGGUGAUUUAUUAUAACAGCAUUAGGCAUCCAUAUCCCAGGUGAUUUAUUAUAACAGCAUUAGGCAUCCAUAUCCCAGGUGAUUUAUUAUAACAGCAUUAGGCAUCCAUAUCCCAGGUGAUUUUAUCAUAACAGCAUUAGGCAUCCAUAUCCCAGGUGGGGCUGGAAGGUUCUAUACACUACCAGUCAAAGUUGACACGCCUACUCAUCAGGGUGUUUCUUUCUUUUUACUGUUUUACUACUUUGUAGAAUAAUAGUUAAGACAUCAAAACUAUGAAAUAACACAUGGAAUCAAGUAGUAACCAAAAAAAGUGUUAAACAAAUCAAAAUAUAUUUGAGAUUCUUCAAAGUAGCCACCCUUUGUCUUGAUGACAGCUUUGCGCAUUCUUGCCAUUCUCUCAACCAGCUUCACCUGGAAUGCUUUUCCAACGGUCUUGAAGGAGUUCCCACAUGUUGAGCACUUGU